RNAcentral lists this ribosomal RNA (442 nucleotides) under uncultured bacterium. Its description in RNAcentral is "partial 16S ribosomal RNA". It matches the Rfam family "Bacterial small subunit ribosomal RNA", at positions 338 to 795 of the family's 1533-position model. The record is from RNAcentral.
CCUACGGGUGGCAGCAGUGGGGAAUAUUGGGCAAUGGGCGCAAGCCUGACCCAGCAACGCCGCGUGAAGGAAGAAGGCUUUCGGGUUGUAAACCUCUUUUAUCAGGGACGAAGCAAGUGACGGUACCUGAUGAAUAAGCCACGGCUAACUACGUGCCAGCAGCCGCGGUAAUACGUAGGUGGCAAGCGUUAUCCGGUUUUACUGGGGUUAAAGGGUGCGUAGGCGGUCCGUUAAGUCAGCGGGAAAAUUGCGGGGCUCAACCCCGUCGAGCCGUUGAAACUGGCAGACUUGAGUGGGCGAGAGGUACGCGGAAUGCGCGGUGUAGCGGUGAAAUGCGUAGAUAUCGCGCAGAACACCGAUGGCGAAGGCAGCGUACCGGCGCCAGACUGACGCUGAGGCACGAAAGCGUGGGGAUCGAACAGGAUUAGAUACCCGUGUAGUC